This 112-nucleotide ribosomal RNA is filed under the name uncultured bacterium. RNAcentral describes it as "partial 16S ribosomal RNA". It matches the Rfam family "Bacterial small subunit ribosomal RNA", at positions 1379 to 1482 of the family's 1533-position model. The record is from RNAcentral.
CCUUGUACACACCGCCCGUCAAGCCAUGGAAGCCGGGGGUACCCAAAGCCAGUGUUCUAACUCCAAGCAAUUGGAGGAGAAGCUGUUUAAGGUAAAACCGGUGACUGGGGCU